Molecule: ribosomal RNA, 253 nt
Filed under: uncultured bacterium
Lineage: Bacteria
Description: partial 16S ribosomal RNA
Rfam family: Bacterial small subunit ribosomal RNA
Source: RNAcentral
UACGGGGGGGGUAAGCGUUGUUCGGAAUUACUGGGCGUAAAGGGCUCGUAGGCGGCCAACUAAGUCAGACGUGAAAUCCCUCAGCUUAACUGGGGAACUGCGUCUGAUACUGGAUGGCUUGGAUUUGGGAGAGGGAUGCGGAAUUCCAGGUGUAGCGGUGAAAUGCGUAGAUAUCUGGAGGAACACCGGUGGCGAAGGCGGCGACCUGGGCCAAUACUGACGCUGAGGUGCGAAAGCGUGGGGAGCAAACAGG